Struthio camelus australis is the source of this 6509-nucleotide non-coding RNA. Lineage: Eukaryota; Metazoa; Chordata; Aves; Struthioniformes; Struthionidae. The record is from RefSeq and is a predicted model, not a curated record.
GAGACAAGUCUUGAUUAGAGCUGGAACAAUAGCUCCAUUUUAUUAAUAAUGGGAAGGAUUUACAAUCCUACAGCACCUUCCUUGGAAGGCUUUCAAAAUCAUUUGCAAACAUACACAAAUUUAAGCUUUCACAGCCCUGCCUGUGAGGUGGGUAAGUAUAUACCACCAAAAAUCACAUCGAGCUUGGAGUCGGUGGCAAAUCUCCAUUUUUGAGUGCUAGAAAAAUGACAAGAGUUGGUGGGUUUUAAGGCUGUGAAAGGGUGUGCUGGGGGGAUGAGGGGAGAGGUUGGUAAGUGGGGCUGGCUGGAAGCUGUAACCUAAAUCUGUUUAGUGUGUGCUGCAGACAGUGUUUUUCUGUGUCCUGGGAACUGGGCUGUUAUUUCUCAGCCUGCUCCAUGCAAAUAACCCCUUUCGUCUUGCUCUGUGCUAGAGCAAAGACAUGGACUUGCCUGCUUGUCACUAAACAUCUGCUUAUAGAUUUUUAUUUAUUUAUUUAUUCAUUACCUUUUUGUAGUCCCCAAGUGACCUUCUUUAGUGCUGGCUUGGCUGUGGUUUGACCACAGCUUUGCAUUAAAGCUGGCUGCUAGCUUUAAUGUGUCUCUGUGCAAGCUAGAAUGACCUUGCUUGCAGGACAAGGACCCACCUAGCUAAUGCAGAUACUCUGCUUUGAAUAAACCCUGCAGUCUUGGGUGGUUCCCCCCCCUCCUCCCCCCAGCAUGUCCCUUCCCUGACCCAGGUAGUGCAGGGGAAUGUUACAAUAUUAUGGGUGAAAGCUGUCAUCUGCCUCUUUUUUUUCCCCUCCCAGGGAAAUACAAGAUUGUAUGUGUAACUCCCACUCCACAGCAGAUACCUUCUUUGUAAGUAUUGUAAAAGUGCAGUGAUCUCGGAGACAUCUGCGUAGUCGGAUUGGGUCUUGCUGCAGCAUAUAAGGCACAGUGGUCUGGUUGUGUAAGUGUAUGUUGUACAUGGGCCACAGAAACCCGCAAUGUUUCUGUGGUUACUUCUGUCUGGAUAACAUGAGUAGGUCCCAGGGCUUCCCCUUCCCACCAUUUACUAUUUCACAAAAGAACAGGCUGGUGCUUCUGGAAAAAGCUCUGCUUUGUGGCCUUAAAAAGAAAAACUGCUGUGGAUUAGUCAUUCUUAUUUUUAAAAGAAGCUGUGUUUGCCAGUCCCAUCUGUACAGUGCAUGUGAGAUAUUAACUAUUAGCUUUAUUUGUGAAGCUUGGUAAUGUGUUCUGGUCACUGCUCUUUGGAGUCCUGCCACCAAAGCUGCUGGCCUGGGUAUAAUACUGUGCAGGUGGAAGAACUGACAAUCCAGCUUUUCAUACUUUUCUAUGCUUUUUCUUUUUUCGGUGCUGGUAUCUCUGCAUUGCCAGGUGUGGAAACAUAGAGACCGUAACAACAGUAAGCAAGGACAGAUGAACUGCCUUCCAGGGUCAGUUAUAAAUUGAGAGAAGAAAUCCUGAUUUUUUGUUUUUUCUUAUUUUCCCCUUGCCUAUGGUAGCUUUUACUCCAAGCCCAACUGACUGUUUCUUGCAAUAAGGUUGGGUUUGACCCUUUUGGAUGCUAAAAAUGAUAAUGUUUUUAAUCCUUCAGGUUGUAUUCCCUUCUCUGUGGUCAUGUAAUGGAGCUGUACAAUUAAAAUGGUGUAGCAAAGGACAGCUGCCUCCCCCCUUGCCCUUUCAAAAAACCUUCCGGAGUUGUGUGCUCUUGAACUGCUGCAUAGGCAGAAAACAUACAAUGCAGUUGUCAGCAUUGCGCUGGUGUGUGGCAUGUUUAAAAACACACGCGCGCGCGCACACACACACACACACACACACACACACGGUGGGGAGAACGGGUGCCUCCAGGGGCUAAAACUAGGGGGCCUCUUUCACUACAAGCGAUUAGACCCACAUGCAAUAGUAUAUUACUCCUAAUUUUGUGGCGGCAAAUGCAAUGGCCAAACAUCAGAGGGAGCGUGGCAACACGCUAAAUUGUGUUGGUGAAGAUCAGGGUCCCAUUGUACUAUUUUUUCUGUUAACUUGCUCCUACAAGAUGCUGCUGCUUUAUUGCUUGAUUCCUCCAGCCUGUUCUUUCUUGCCAGGAAACAGGAAAAUGUUUCCUUAUUGAGUGCAAUUUCUUUUGUUGUGUUGCAAAAGGUAAUAAAAAGCACCUGCCUCUGGUUUCUCCUAGGUCACACCUGACUGCCUUUAGUGCUGACUCCCAGUAAUCUCUAGCAUGUGGCACUGUCACAGCAGCGCAAGGAGUGUAAGUGGCAGAGCAUUCUCAUCAGCCUCUUUUGAUGAGAAUAUUGGUAUUGGCGCCGCAUGAAUGCUUCUGGCUGACCAGCUGAGGGGCCCUGCCCCGCUGAGCUGGAGCAACAUCUUAUAAGAAACGCAGUGAUUUUAUUGCCAGUGAGGCAGUCUGGUUGCUGCACUGAUUUGUAGUAUAGCUAUGGCUUUAUGCUUUUCUGGCAAAACUUAGCUAAGGGUAAGUAUGAGGUGUCCAGGACAGGUUUUCACUCAGUGCUUUCAGCGGUAGAGAGCUGGGGAAAGUUGAUGUGUGGUGUAUGUGAAGCUUGCCAAUAGCUCGGUGUGCCUAAGGUCUCAUCUAUGCUUGAAUUAAACUAGCGUGGACAGGGAAAUUAAUUUUAGUCUCUUGUUAGGGAUAUAUUUGUUUUGAGAUAAGCCUCGUGCCCCUCAGGGGCCUUUGCCAGCAUAGAGGUACUGUGGACCAGCAAACUGGAUGUUUGGGAUGUUUUCCAGGUUGGCACACCCUGUGAGACUCUGAAUUAUUUUUCCUUGGCAGUUUGGGGCAAAUGAGUGAGAAUUACCUUGUGAUUGCUGAACUUUUACCACCUCGUGCUUUGGACUGAAGAGUUACUAGAACUAAAUCUAUGAGGUUUCCAAGCUAAACAAAACCUGAAUUUCUGGUGCCAAAAAGCAAGCCAGCAAUAGAAACCUCUGAAACCUCUGCUUCUCCUCCAGAAGGGGGGAAACCACAGUCUUUCAAGCUUUCCUGUUAUCCUCAAGAGUUAAAAAGGCAUAAACCUGCGUCAUGAAACCUGCCGAGCUAGCGGUCGGAUGAAACGAGAGCCAAAGCUAGCCGAGAAACUGUUCUCGUGUGCCGUAUUGCUGGAGAGGUUUUUCAGUCAGGAAGACUGAAAUCCUCUCUGGCUGGCUGGUGAAAUGCAGUACUGUUUUUUGGGAAAAACCCACACGAGGUGAGCAGGUACUGCUGUUCAGUACGUACAGAAGUUUGUAGGCAAGGGGAGGCAGGGCAGAAGCUGGCAAUGUUAUUUUCCUCUUCUUUCCAACGACAGGGAAAGAAAUAGGUAUUAAUUCUAAUAUUUCUACUAUACAGUAAGCAAGAGUAAGCUUGUUUGCAGUCCUGUGACUACAUAUGGUAUUUUGCUUGGGUGGCUUAGCAAUCACACUGCACUCUGCUGUUGAAGAAGUAUCUGUUUUUGUAUAGCAAAGUUUUUUGAAAACAGAAGCGGGCUUUUAUAUAUAUACAAAUGGGUUCAGUGUAAACCAGAUUCCAGGGGCUCCUCGACUGUGUUUACUGUGCUGCAGAACGUAAGUGAUGCGAACCCGCUGGCCACAGUGGCUGUAUUCUGUGGUAGCUCCGAUCCUCAGUGCUAUAUGAGAAGAACAACAUCAUCGAGUUUGGCUGGGAAUAGCAUUUGAAGAUAAAUUACAGAAUAUUGGGUAUAGCCAUUUCUAGAACGUGAAGGGAGUCUUCUCAACACGGUUAUCUCAUCUUGAAGAUUUGGAGCGCUUAACCCUCAAAGAGGAAUGAACCAAAAUCAAUAGCUUUAUUAAUACAAAACCUGUACUUUGUGUUGCUUAGGAUCCAGAACCAGGCUUUGUGUUCAAAGUGUUACCAGUAUAUUAGCUGAUAUCCUCUAUCUUGGCAACAUGCGAGCCCCAAUAUCAAACUGCACCAAUUCCUUCUUGGAGAAUAUUAUCCAUUGCAUAAAAUGUAAUGGGUAAGCAAUAAAAUUAGCCCAGUAAUUCAGGCUAGCCUAAAAAUGAGAUAAAAGCCUCGCUGGCAAUUUGAUAUUCAGCUGCCAUACUGUCAUUUUAAUAAAUAUAGUCAGUGAGCAGGAAAGGCACGUAAAUGAAUUUUAUAUUGGCAAGAUGGUGGAUGGCGCUGGGAGGCUCGAACAAAGAAAAGCUCUGAGUGUUUCUGGUGACGUUUGAGAGCUCUUGUCUGGCUAACGUACUGUUUUUCUGUGAAAAGUGGAGAAAGCUGGAUGCUUACUGGACACUUACUGGUGGGGAUAAUUAUUGCAUGCUACUAAUGUGACUGCUCUUCUGUCUAAUCCAUUUGAGUCUCUGGUGCUUGGCCGAUGUUUCUGGCUAUGGGGAAAGGGGUAAUGCCUCCUUUCCCCAUUUCCAGCUGUGCUGCUGUGAGCUCAAAACGCAGAGCAAUUGCUAAGCCAGAACCAAGUAUAAGAAGUUACAGCCUUGGCAAAUACAGCUCUGGUUGCUGUCCUUGUUCGGUAUCUAAUCUUUUAUUUUUUAAAUGUUUGGCAAGCAGUCUCUGCGACACGUGGCAGCGAGCUCCACCACUUGGGUAAGACGCUGCAAAACGUCUACAAACUUGCCUUUUCAAGUGUUGUCUGCUCGCUCUGUAAUGUGCCCUCCUAUUUAUUCAUGUUUCCUCCUGGAUGAGAGGCUGUCUCUGGCUGCUCCCUUUCUUAUUUGUGUGGACCCCAAGGAUGUUUUCCAAUUCUCCUGCCCUUUUUCUCCAAACUGGACAGCUGCUAACUUUAUUAGCUCCUUAUAUGGCAGCACCAUUUUCUCACGCCUUUAAUGGCUCGCUUUUGAUCUUUCAUGUUCUUGCUUUGCUUUUCUUGAUGUGAGCACGGUGUUCAAGCUGAGAUGGGUUUAUCACCUGCUCCCCCAUUUAAUAUGGGGCCUGGCAUUUUAAUCCUUUCCAAGUGAUGAUAAGAUACGUGCAGAUGUUUUAACUGAGAGGUCAGCCGAGAUGCCUGGAGAUAGCUGGGUUCUCAGCUACACCCAGCGUGUGUAUGAGUAAUUUAAAUUGUGCCUUGCAGGGUGCCAGACUGUGCCCUUGUUUGUCCUGAAGGCCAAGGGGCAGCGGGUGGUGGAGAGCCAGUGAAGUCUUCUGUUCUUCGGCUGUUUGCCCCUCUGGGGAGAGCAGCAAGUGAGAACUUGUGUCUCAACCCUUGAAGCUUGCCGCUGGGCUUGUGUUGCCACUGAUGCCAGGACAGUGGCUAACGGUCAACAGCUUUGUUUGCAACAGCUUCCAAUCUGUGGAUGUCCCUCCUGACCAGCCAGCUUGCAAGAUUACUAUGUGACAGCAAUGACCCUGUGUGAAGUUUCUUUGAAGGACCUGGGAGUCUGUGUGGUUUUCUCAUGUCCCUUGGAGGUGCUUCCCUGGGAGGGAGGGAGGGAGGGGAAGAGUAGUUAGAAAUGCUGUCACAGCAAGCACGCUCAACUGAAGAGGGGAAAAUUCUGCAUUGCCUUCAGAAAAGCCAUUUGAUACAUGGUUUGGGUGAAGGGGGGGGGCUUCCUUCCUCUCUCUGAAAUGGAUGCCUGUAGAGUCCUUUAAAGGUAUAGACGAAUAGUUAUUGCUCUUUGGGCUUUUGACCAGUUAAAACAGAAAACUAAGCCCAUUUCCAUGGAAAAGAAGCAUAUGUGGUGGAAAGUGUUGGAGGAGCUCAUUGGCAGUGCGUUUUCUUGUAUGCACGUGGCUUAAUCACAUACUUUAAAUAAUAGAUGGUUUGCUUGCAAGGGUUUGUUUUGUUUGUUUUAAUCAGUAGAUCUCAAAUAAUUUGGCAGUGCAGCUUAAUGCCAGUCAUCACUGGGGAAACUGAGGCAUGGGGCCAUAAAGGGAUCAGCUUGCAGCUACCCAUAGCAGGGGUAGAGUUGGGGAUAAGACUUGAGUCUGCCAAGGCUGGAGCUGAUGUGCGUCAGAGAUCUGAUUAAAUCAAGAUUUGCAUGUGUUAAGUGAUCUAUAGCUUGAUGACUUUGACUAGUUGCUGAGAUGGACUAAUUGCCAAAAGGUUUAAACUGUCCUGGGCAGGGUCCUGUUAGACUGGGUGGCGUGAGCAUGUUGCAAGGUGCCCACCAGCUAUUAAUGAGCCUGGGUUGAAGGCAAAGGCGGUGUAGUUGAGCUCUGCUUGUCCCAAUGAGAACAUGGUUUUAAUCAAUAGAAAAGCGCCGUCAGCAAGCAGGAGGCUUUGGCCAAGGGAAAUACUGAAAUAUUAGUCUUCUCUUUGUGGUGAAAGCAGCUAACUGGCUUAUGCGGCUUCAAAAAUGUACUAGUGGCUCUGGAUGCAUGUUCUGUUUUAUCCUAACCUCAAACUGUUUGCUUACUGCUGUUCCAAAUGUCACAGUGGCAAUAAGUUGGGCAUUUUCUUUUUCAGACAUAUAAACGUGUAUUUUUAUCUGUGUAGAGUCACAUUUUUUUUCUUUACGUGGAAAAAUGGAAACUUCAGAAGGUGGCUGGAUUUCACUGCCAUUAAAUCUUGCCCGGGGUUAGAAAGUGGCCUU